This is a long non-coding RNA of Populus nigra (black poplar), 1757 nucleotides long. RefSeq lists it as uncharacterized. The record is from RefSeq and is a predicted model, not a curated record. Lineage: Eukaryota; Viridiplantae; Streptophyta; Magnoliopsida; Malpighiales; Salicaceae. The transcript has 2 exons.
GUAAACUCGGUCCGAGUUUACCGAGUUUAACAAAAUUAUCAAAAACUAUGGAAUCUUCUCACUGUUCUCAGUCCUCUCCUCUCCAUCCCGUUAGUCUCACAAAAAUCCCCCCUUUUCCUUUUCCCUUUCCCCAAAUCAACCCUAGCAGAAGCAGAUCUCACAUUCUUUUAUUCUCAAAUCUUAAACCCAGCAGAAGCCAACGCCUUCCACUCUCUUUCUCUCAAAACCCCCAUUUUUUUUCUUUAUUUCGUUUGCCUUUGAUCUGAUUGUCUCCGCCUCUCCGGUCUCUAGUUUCCAGUCUCCACUCCUCUGCUUUGUUUGCUGGAUUCUUUCAUUAGUGGUCAGUUAAAUAAUAUUGAACUUGCUGUUAAUCUUGCAACUGGUGCUGAAAAUCUUCCAGGUAAACACAUUAUUUUUUGUUAAUCUUUUCUUCUUCCUCCUCAUCCAUGGCGAUGAAGUGUCUGAUAUAGAAAAAGACUUGAGUGCCUAUCAUAUUAACAUUUGCUCAUUUGCUGAAUCAUAAGAUCUUUUCUCUUUUGUAAUUUCGCAUGCCUUAUUAACUGUGCUGACAAGUCUUGUAUGUGUAUAUAUAUAUAUAUUGCCAUAUUGGGUUUUUGCAAUCUUUGCAUGUUUGUGUCCUAAUCUGAUAGACGGUACCAAAGAUGUUGCUUUCAAAUGGUUGCUUUCAGUUUCUGGUUUUCAUAAUUUUAAUUGUCCAAGAUCCUUUGUAAAUAUCUAAUGGUUUCGGCAAAUAAUUAAAUAUAUAAAUGAAUCCUCUAAGCUCUAACAGGAGUGAUCCCGUGAUAGAAUUUGAAUGAAUCCUGAAGCCAACCACUUUGGACAGCUAGGAAUUUUAGAGUAUCCUGUUAACUAUUGACGAAAACAAUGUGGAGAUUGCUACAAUGCUGCUACAUCAUAUAUAGCUCCAAAACCCAUCUUUCUUUUUAUUGCAAUUCCCACCAGAAGGGCAGAGCAUGAAAUGAAUGCUUAAUAGUGUCCUGAAUUUUGGUUGCUGUCUACUGUAUUUUUCGAGCCCAUGCUUCCUAUAUUAGCAUAUCUAAGAUGAAGAAACAUACUCCACAACUUGUGAUUAUUGGAAUUCAUAUUAUCUUAGUCAAACUGGAGUUUCACGUUGCAAGAUCAUUGCUUGUUUUGUCAGUGAAGCAAGCUCUACCAUUCUCUUUAAAAGCUCUUUUUAUUUCUCUAAUAUUUGCAAAAGGGCAGAGCAUGAUCUAAUGGUCUCUGUAUGUGUUGCUUUAGCUUUCGGUAUUCCCUGGAAAGUCUGAUAAAUAAUGAGAUAAAAGAACAACUUAUGACGGUAUUGUUGUUUAAAAAAUCUAAUGAACAAAAUUCAUAUUUAUCUCUUGGUAGGCUACAUUUUGCUUAUAAUUUUAAAAUAGUUUCAUUUUAGUUCAUUUAAAAAAUCUAUUUGUUGCCAUGUUGGUUUUUUUGUUAUAUUUUAUUCAAUUCUCAGCACUAUACAUCCGAAUUGGUGUAUAUAUUGAUUCUUGAACUGCUGGAUACAUGCCGAGGAAGAUCAAAGCAAUGAGGUCAUGUUUAGUUUAUAUAACACACCAACAAAUUAUUUGUUUUAAGUUUGUUAAUUUUUAGUUAAUAAAAUUCUAUGGACAUAAUUGUAUUGUAUUGUAUUUUUAAGUUAUUUAAAUCAUGUAUAAAUUUUUAUUUGAAUCAUGUAUUUUAAGUGUUUGGAAAUUUGUAUUGUUUAUUAGUUUAUUUCACUUUUACUUACGAUUUUA